This 65-nucleotide transfer RNA is filed under the name Phobaeticus serratipes. RNAcentral describes it as "tRNA-Ala". The record is from RNAcentral. Lineage: Eukaryota; Metazoa; Arthropoda; Insecta; Phasmatodea; Phasmatidae.
GGGAUAAUAGUUAAUAUAUAACAUUUGUUUUGCAUACAAAAAGUAUUGAUAGUCAAUUUUUCUCA